GGAUCCGUGGCGCAAUGGUAGCGCGUCUGACUCCUGAUCAGAAGGUUGGGUGUUCGAUUCUAAUCCU
Molecule: transfer RNA, 67 nt
Filed under: Jatropha curcas
Lineage: Eukaryota; Viridiplantae; Streptophyta; Magnoliopsida; Malpighiales; Euphorbiaceae
Rfam family: tRNA
About the family: Transfer RNA (tRNA) molecules are approximately 80 nucleotides in length. Their secondary structure includes four short double-helical elements and three loops (D, anti-codon, and T loops). Further hydrogen bonds mediate the characteristic L-shaped molecular structure. tRNAs have two regions of fundamental functional importance: the anti-codon, which is responsible for specific mRNA codon recognition, and the 3' end, to which the tRNAs corresponding amino acid is attached (by aminoacyl-tRNA synthetases). tRNAs cope with the degeneracy of the genetic code in two manners: having more than one tRNA (with a specific anti-codon) for a particular amino acid; and 'wobble' base-pairing, i.e. permitting non-standard base-pairing at the 3rd anti-codon position.
Source: Rfam by way of RNAcentral